CCUACGGGAGGCAGCAGUGAGGAAUAUUGGUCAAUGGGCGGAAGCCUGAACCAGCCAAGUAGCGUGCGGGAUGAAGGCCCUACGGGUCGUAAACCGCUUUUGCACGGGGAUAACACCCUCCACUUGUGGAGGUCUGCAGGUACCGUGCGAAUAAGGGCCGGCUAAUUCCGUGCCAGCAGCCGCGGUAAUACGGAAGGCCCGAGCGUUAUCCGGAUUCAUUGGGCUUAAAGGGAGCGUAGGCGGGCGUUCAAGUCAGCUGUAAAAGCGCGCGGCUCAACCGCGCCCCGCAGUUGAAACUGGACGCCUUGAGUGCACAACAGGCAGGCGGAAUUCGUGGUGUAGCGGUGAAAUGCAUAGAUAUCACGAGGAACCCCGAUUGCGAAGGCAGCCUGCCGGGGUGCGACUGACGCUGAGGCUCGAAGGUGCGGGUAUCAAACAGUAUUAGAUACCCCAGUAGUC
This 459-nucleotide ribosomal RNA is filed under the name uncultured bacterium. RNAcentral's name for it is "partial 16S ribosomal RNA". It matches the Rfam family "Bacterial small subunit ribosomal RNA", at positions 338 to 795 of the family's 1533-position model. The record is from RNAcentral.